This 189-nucleotide unclassified non-coding RNA is filed under the name Glomeromycotina sp. RNAcentral describes it as "partial contains 5.8S ribosomal RNA and internal transcribed spacer 2". The stretch from base 1 to 65 matches the Rfam family "5.8S ribosomal RNA", at positions 84 to 154 of the family's 154-position model. Lineage: Eukaryota; Fungi; Glomeromycota. The record is from RNAcentral.
GUGAAUCAUCAAAUUUUUGAACGCAAAUUGCACUCUCUUCUGAGAGUAUGACUGUUUGAGGGUGAGGAUUAAUAAAAAUCGGUGUUUUGCUACUUUGUGACGCUCCGGAGUUUGGGUCAUCUUAAAAUCCUUUAGGUUUUAAGUGGCUUAUAAUUGACUUUUUGUGCGCAUUUUAUAUGUCCAUAGCUU